Molecule: long non-coding RNA, 1842 nt
Organism: Trifolium pratense (red clover)
Lineage: Eukaryota; Viridiplantae; Streptophyta; Magnoliopsida; Fabales; Fabaceae
Exons: 4
Source: RefSeq, a predicted model, not a curated record
AAAUUUUAUCAAAAAAAAAAACACACUCACUUAAUACCCAAAAUAAAAAAACAAAAACACACACACAAAAGUGAAAAAACACAUUUCAUUGAGAAAUCCCUAAAUCCCAAAACACUCUUUCAUCGCCACCACAGUCACACUCCGGCGCAACUUUCUUCAUCGUUCCCUUCAAGAAAAGUGAAUGGGUUCAUCGUUCUCUCCAAUCGUUUGUAUCAAAACUCACUCUCCAAUCUUUCACCUUAAAUCCCUUAAUCACUCUCUCCAAUCGAUCUCUUUACUGUUCCCGUCGAGAGAAGUAAGAUUUGUGUUGAGCAUAAAGAAGAAGUGAGAAUCCUUAGGCCGCCGACCCUCUGACCGCCUCUAUACCGAACCUCCACCUCAUACUCCGGCGCUCUGCCGUUCUUUCAAAGCUCGACUGCUCUGUCUACCCGUCGUUGCUUCUCGUUCCAUUGUUCUGUCAUCUGCUUCCACUGUUCGUUGUUGAUAAAAUGAAAAUGGCGACUUCACCAUAUGAGGAGCCACGGAGCAAAAUAAUAGAAGAGAAUGCUAAAAGGAUGGAAUCAUCCUUAUGAGUUUAUACAAAUGCAUUUUUAUCAUACAAAUGCAUUUUUCUUAUGGGUGUAUCAUAAUUUUGAUUUCUUGUCUCUUGAAACUAAGUUGAUUGCAAGUACUCAAAUUAUGUACUUUGGAUGCUGAAAUUGGUCCUACCUUAUUUGACUGAAUUUUUUAUUGUGGUCUGUUAGGAUUUGGCAUUUGAUUACUUGUCUCUUUCUGUCCUGCUGGGAGAUAACUUCUACAACUACAAUUUUGGAGAUCUACUUGCCCACCCUGUUGUGAGUAUCUGCUGAUUAUUUUUUUUUGGAAUGUCUCCUCUUUCAAGUUUUCUCGACUCCAUUCAUCUAUUUAAGUUACUAUAUACUUAUGCAGGUAGGGAAUCCUCUUAUGGAGUUAAAUAUGCUCUCAAUUCAAGAGCAGAGUUCUUAUGGUUCCAUGGACUGAUUUCAAAUUCUUCUUUCAAGUGUUAAGGAUGAGAAGCCAACCAACUGGUUGUUUGCAGAAUCUGUUCAGAUGAAGGGGAAACCAAUCACACAUAAGACAAAUUGUUAUGGUUAGAUAAAAUUUGUAAAUUUCCAUCUCCUUUUAACACUUACAUUAAAUAAUGCUCUAUUACUUCCAUCUCAUUUUAAUAUUUCUCUAAUAGUAGUGAUACUAGUAUAUCCUCUUAUAGUAUGAUUCUAGCUCUUUGUAUAUUAUGAUUGACCUUUUCAUCUCUUUCUUAUUAAUUCCACUUAAUUGUUUCUUUACUACACUAUGGUGAUUUAUUUUCUGUUACUUAUAGUAUGUUAUUGAUGUUGCUGCUGCAUAAGUUUCUGGUUUGUGUGCUUCUCACUAUGUUUUUGGUUGCUUCGUAGUUCUGUUUUUGAAGUCUGAAUGCGAACCCUCUGCGAGACCACCGUGAGGCAACGCGAAAGUUGUUUGCUACCACACCAUCACUAUCUUCAAUCAAUGGCUCCAGUUGCAGUGGGAGAUGUGAUUCUAGACGGAGCUUAAUUUUGUUGCCCUUAUUUAUUGUCAUUUGUGUGUGUGCUAUAGGUCCGGGGUUUUUGAUGAUUGAGUCCAUUCGCUUUUUUAAGUAUCCUAAUAGUUAUGUUUCUUCAGGUAACCAAAUAAGAAGAGUCAAGAGAUGGUAGCACUAAUUAAGGAUUAUGAAGCAACAUCAUUUACUAGGGAAUGUUUAGAUAUUUUAAGAACUUAUUUUGCCAUAAUGUUUUGUAUGUUUAACCACUAUACUAAUGUUUAUGUUUUAGUUUUUCAAUGUUUGAACUACAUUGAUUUUUUUUC